UACAGGUCAAUUUGUUAUCUCCCUUUUCAUAUAACAUACAUUUACUUCUUUGUGUGAAUUCUGUCCUCUCUCUAGUAUUUGUUCACCCAUGCCGGCUGAUGCAAUAAUUGUUAGGUCCAAUCAAAAUAACGAAUUGAUCCGAUGCAAGAUUUUCAUUGAUCAUUCAAUUGUACCUGUUGCUUUCAUAAACAAAUUACUGACCACGCUUGCAUUUGCCAAGACCGUCUAGUGGACGCAAGUCCAUAGUCGUUGUUUUAUUCCAACCUGGUCUUUUCCGUCAUGGCUAUAUUGGUCAGCGUCAAUAAAUACAAUUAAACCUCCACGGCUUUGAUUGAAUGAUGUGCCCCAAUCUCAACACCCACUACAAAUGGCGCCCAACGGGGGACAGACGUGCGACGGAAGGACCAGGUUGGCGGCUGGACCAGGUUUCCGGAGGGUGGCGAGGUUGGAACCACGUUCGUUGAGGACGGGCCCACGCUGUCGGAGCGGUGCUGGAUUCGGGAGUACGACAACCCAAAAGAGGCGCGUUGACUUCCGUCCAGCUCCUAGGACCGUUUCGGCAGGACCCGCAGUACUUUCGAAAGGACAGCUGAAUUGUGUAUUAAUUAUGCACAUUUUCGUAAGAGAAAUCUGCGUGUUUUUCAGUGUUUAUGUCCAUUUGUUUUUACAUCAAUAUCUCAAAAUCUUCGUCUUAUAAUAUGUCUGACUGUCCGAAAAAUAUCUGAAACGCAAGAAGUACAUACGGACUUAAAACGAAACAAUUGAAAAUUUUGGACAAAAUAGUAAGUCCCUAUUAAACGAAUAUAUUUCAAUGUUACUUGUUAGGCAUUAAAUGAAAUCCUAGUAUUAGACCUAGCGCGUAAACAAAAUGUCAUUAUUUAACGUUUAACGUUUUUUUCUGAACAGUUUUAUCAAUAAAUAUUUGCUACAAGACAAAAAUAAUGUUAAUUAUGAUUGUGCAUAUGCAAUGUGUAGAUUGUUGUAAGCCAUCGAUAUAUGCCUUUUUAUACCCGCCUGUAGUUUAAUAUAGUAUUGUAUUUUAAUUAUUUAUGAUGAGACAAUAUUUUGUGUUAAACUGCUCCUUGAAUAAAUGCCAAUGUCAA
Molecule: long non-coding RNA, 1103 nt
Organism: Dreissena polymorpha
Lineage: Eukaryota; Metazoa; Mollusca; Bivalvia; Myida; Dreissenidae
Exons: 2
Source: RefSeq, a predicted model, not a curated record